CUACGGGCCGCAGCAGUGAGGAAUAUUGCACAAUGGGGGGAACCCUGAUGCAGCAACGCCGCGUGGAGGAUGACGCAUUUCGGUGUGUAAACUCCUUUUAUAUGUCAAGAAAAUGACGGUAGCAUAUGAAUAAGCACCGGCUAACUCCGUGCCAGCAGCCGCGGUAAUACGGAGGGUGCAAGCGUUACUCGGAAUCACUGGGCGUAAAGGACGCGUAGGCGGGUUGGAAAGUCAGGUGUGAAAUCCUACAGCUUAACUGUAGAACUGCACUUGAAACUUCUAAUCUAGAGUAUGGGAGGGGGAGAUGGAAUUAGUGGUGUAGGGGUAAUAUCCGUAGAUAUCACUAGGAAUACCUAAAGCGAAGGCGAUCUCCUGGAACAUUACUGACGCUAAGGCGUGAAAGCGUGGGGAGCAAACAGGAUUAGAUACCCCUGUAGUC
RNAcentral lists this ribosomal RNA (439 nucleotides) under uncultured bacterium. RNAcentral's name for it is "partial 16S ribosomal RNA". It matches the Rfam family "Bacterial small subunit ribosomal RNA", at positions 339 to 795 of the family's 1533-position model. The record is from RNAcentral.